Molecule: long non-coding RNA, 2068 nt
Filed under: Betta splendens (Siamese fighting fish)
Lineage: Eukaryota; Metazoa; Chordata; Actinopteri; Anabantiformes; Osphronemidae
Description: lncRNA (ENSBSLG00000007825.1)
Source: RNAcentral
AUAUAUAUAUAUAUAUAUAUAUAUAUAUAUAUAUAUAUAUAUAUAUAUGUGUGUUGGGUUUCCAUUUCCUGUUUUAUUUUGGUAGUCUCCCGGUUUCUGUUUUUGUUCUAGCUUCACUUCCGGUUUACGUCAUGUCACAGCUGUUCCUGCUUCACCCGGUCAUUGUACACACCUGCAGUUCAUCAGUAAUGAACUGCAGGUGAACUGUGUAUCCUGUUAUUGACCUGGUUCCGUACUUCUGACCAUCGUUCUCGCCUGAUCCUUACCGACCUUGUAAGUCUUCGCUCCGUUAUUGAACACUGCCUGUUUUAAGACCUGUCUAAGCCUGCCGAUUUGGAUUCUGAAAUCUGAGCCUUUUCCUGUAUUGACACCUGCCUGUUACCGGACCCGAGUAAGCUAUUUUCCUUGUGUGCUGAAAGACUGUUAACCUGUGUAUGACCCGGACUGCCUUGUGACUUAGUUUCUGGAAUAAACCCACCUUUUUUCAUCAUCCGCAUCGUGUACUGGUGCUGUGCAUUUGGGUCCUUUAUAUGCCGUUCGUGACAGAACGAUCUGGCCAGACUUGGACCCAGCCAGUGCCCAGCCUUCACCCAGGUUAGUUACCGCUGUUUUUUCUUUUUUCCUCUCUGUUCGGCUCCGCAUACAAAUCGCUCACCGGAGCAAUGGAUUUCUUUUGCCCGAGUUUACCGGAGGACAUCCGUGGAGAUCUCCGGACAUGAGCCAGGAAAUACACGGAGGCUCCCAGCCUCAAGGUUCGGCUCUCCGUAGUAAAACUGGCCAUUGAGAUACUGGAGGACGAGUACUGGUGGCAUGAGUACCCCGGAGUGCAGGCGUUUUUCGAUGGACUCCGACUAAUGCAGAGGGACUUGACACGCGCUUUGCGCGUAUCGGCUGGCCGCGUCUCCGUCACCGCUCCGGCGGUUCCUGUUCCAGUCGCCGCUCCGGCGGUUCCUGUUCCUGUCGCCGCUCCGGCGGUUCCUGUUCCUGUCGCCGCUCCGGCGGAUCACGUUCCUGUUCCCAUCGCUGCUCCGGCGGCUCCAGCCCAAGUUCCAGACGUCGCAGCCUCGGUUCACCACGCGGACCCCGGUACAGAGAUCCGGCCCACGCCGCUCCCAGCACCUCAGACGACGGACAGUCGCAGCCGCUCCGGACGGCGACGGCACGGUUCCAGGAUCCUGUGUCCCGAGGUCUCGGUCAUGGGGACCGAGCAGCCCUCUUCUCCGGCAGAGGAGCCUCUUGGUUCUCCGACUGACUGUGUCCCUCUGAUAGCAGGUAUCCCAGACAGCGUCGCCCGAUGGGUCCACCUCCUCUGCUCUCCUCCGGUUGCGUUCCUCUUCGCCCACCUCAUGAACACCGCCGAUUCGGCAGCAGACCAGGGCACGAGGGAACAAUUGUUUGGGGAGGCAGCCGCUCUCGUCUUGAGGGAACCUGCCCUGCGCGAGGUCCUGCAACUCCCAGGCCUGCGGCCAGCAGCCACACCAGAUCCUGCAUCUCAGUCAGGUGCUGUCUGUGAUCAUCACCUCUCUUGUCCCUAUAAUUUGGCUUAUUCUGUCUAUCCUGUCACACCUACCACCUCUAUCUAAUAUUUGGAAAUUCUAUCUGUUGUAUCUCUCUACUGUUUCCACUCUAUCUAAGCCCAUUGGGGGCCCCUUUAUUGACUGCUCGCCACUGGUUGGCCCCUGUUUUUUGAACAACAUUUGAACAUCUAUUUGCUGAACCCAACUUUGGACUCCCGUUUUAUGGUUUCAAUAUUAUUGGUUGCAAUUAACCAGUCUAGCUAUUUUAAGGAACUGAGACUUUCUCUGCUCUCACGCUCUGUCUGUCCUAUUUCUCUUACAGCAUAUCAUCUUAACUAUUGGCUAAAAAUGUUUACAUUACAGUAAAGAUUAAAAUUGGAAAACAUUCUGCUCAGUGAUUUAAGCUUUUAAGCAGAAAAACAAUUUAUUCAAUAUAACAUCUUAGAUAUUUAGACAUCUUAAACACAUGUAAUUUGUUUAAGAUGUUAAAUUAAUUUAAAAUAUUGCUCAUUCGUAACAAUCAAAAAAUUAUUAAUCUAAAACUGCUCAGC